Long non-coding RNA from Brassica napus (rape), 2903 nucleotides. RefSeq lists it as uncharacterized. The transcript is spliced from 5 exons. The record is from RefSeq and is a predicted model, not a curated record. NCBI's taxonomy places the organism in Eukaryota, Viridiplantae, Streptophyta, Magnoliopsida, Brassicales, Brassicaceae.
GGUAUUUAAGAAAAUGAUGUACAUAUUUUAUUCAAAUAGUAUACUCAACUGUUAAGAUUUUUUCCUAUAUGGAUGGUAACUAAUUUUAUAAAUAAUAUUUUAUUUUUAUUGUAUUGAAGGGAAUGUAUUCCGGAUAUCCUAUAAAUAUUCUAAUUUUUAGUAGCACGUACUUAAAUAUGGAAUGUAAUUAAUACCAAAAUUUUUGAUGAGAAAUAAUAACAUAUACUAUCCAAAUCAUUGUUACCAAAACCAUAUAUAUUUAUAUUUUAUAGAAAACCAACAGUAGAAUCUAGCCAAAAUGUAAGACUCAAACUAAUUAAAUAACAUAUAUUAAAUUCUUGAUAUAUUAUUAAUAUCUGUAUAACCACACAAAUGUCUAUAAACUGUGUGUGUAUUUUUGCAAUCCGGUAUCAAAUCAGUUCUUGAUAUUUGUUUACCUAAUUUCAUAACAUAUAAUAACUUAUUUCCGCAAAUAAGACUCACAAAAAUGAAACUUUGUUGUAGAAUGUAGACCGAAUACAAAAAGUCUUACAAAGUUAUAAUGUAUACUUUGUAUGAUAUACGUUUUGCAUAUAUCAAAUUGGUUUAAGAUUAGAACAACAUUGAUAAGUCUUAAAUUAAACCGGAUUAAACCAUUUUAGCUAUAAACAGGUCUACGUAAGUGAUAUAGAUGGUUUCAUUGUCCAAAUGUGAAAUAGUGAGAAUACUGAUUUUUUUGUAAAAAAAAAUAAAGCUUUUUCUGUCAAAUAAAUUUUAACCGGUUUGGUUUUGUAUAUACAUGUACUGAGAUAGCUAUUGUUAGGUGAUAAACAAAGAUUCACUUUCUAAAAUAAAUACUAUAAAUGAAAAUAUAUGAUUUCAAUCAACGUUGCCUUUAAUAACCAAAUGAAAGCUGUAAGGCUAAUUAACAGGGUACAAAUAUUGUUCCUAAAUAAUAGCUGUAGAGCAAAUGUCAAUGGCAUUUAGUGGUAAUUAUUUAGGAAAAUUAAGGGUUAGGUACUAAAUGUAUUUCAGUUUUAAUAGUUUAGAUUUAUACUUUUCAAUGAAAAAAAUUAUUUUUUAUGAAUGCUUAAAUUAUAUUAAGAAACGAAAAAAUAUAAUAAUUAAGAAUAGUUCUAAAAAUAUUAUUUGAAUUUAGACUCAAUGGCCCAAAGAAAAAAAAAGAGAAUUAGAUCUGGUUUCUUAAUCGGCUCAAAUGGCCCAAGAGAGAUCUGAUGUGGGCUGGAUCUAAAAUAAAUGACCCAAUAUAGAUGUGUUAUUAAUAUUAUUUGAUUGCCCUUAAUGAAACAUGUAAAGUUAGUAAAGAAAAAGACAUGCUAAAGUAAAAAAUGACAAUAUGAUCCUGCUUUAAUAGUAUAGAUAUCUAAUUAUAUAAAGUAGAGUUCACUCUCUCCUGGUGAUGCCACGUCAUCAAUUGGGUAAAGGAAAGAGUGACACCUGUUUCUUUGCUUUAAAUGUUGCGUUCCAUUUAUUUGAUCACGGGUUUCUUUUCUAAUUCUGUUGGGCUGCCUCCACAUGAUCAGACCCAUCUAGCUCUACAAUCACUAACGUCAUGUUUUCAAUUAGUGCUCAGAGAGUCUCUCUCUCGCGUCUCCACCCUUCCUCCAUUGACCAUUGCCAAUCUUUCGUCUUCCUCCUUCUUCCGGUGGGAGAUGAAGCAGUAACCGAUACCCUCUCAUAAAGCCCUCCUUAAUCAAUUACACACGAUUUCCAUUCAAUGCGAUCCUGGAGAGUGCAAGGCGGUGGAGGCUCUGCUAUAAAAACACUGGCCGCUGCUCCUCCUCUGUUCAAGUUCGCCUGCUCCGAUUUUGGGAGGCCAGAAACGUCCGGCGUGGGGGAGAGCUAAUGAAACUCGACAUGCUCCUUCUAGAUUCUCAGGCGACUAUGAUGCCGGCGAAGCUCACGAUGCUUCAUGUAGACGAAGCUCACAGAGCAGUGGAAAUGGUUUGAUGAUAAAAUCUUAUAUCAGUUUAUGUACAUGGUCACUGUUUCCCAUUAAAGCGAAACGAUGCAUUAUCUCGCCCUGGAGAUCAUUGGUGUUGGGAAGAAGAAGCUUUAUGCAGCCAAGGGUGAACUUCAAGGAGUCGCAGGAGUUCAAGUCUGCCAAUGACGUUUCCCCUACCAUUACUCCCUUCUAUCUUGGCUGAAAAUAAGGGCUGUGUUUGAUCCAAUGGAAGGAUUAUAAUACUUUUACGCACUAGCUAUCUAUGGAAUGACCCGAGAGCAAAAUGAUGGAGCAUCAAGGAUCACAACUGAUGUGGGGAUGAAAUGAGCUUAUUGCUAAGAACUCUGUUCUUCUUCCCACCUACUCAUUGACACGAAUCUAGGCCGCUGUUUCAUGCCUGAUCUUGGGUCAUUUGUGAGAUUCAACAUGUUGGUAACAGAGCUAAUUUGAUAGAUCCAUCAUCACCCGAUUGUACGACGAACAACAGCAAUAUCGACAGAAGCCUGAAAACAGAGAACAACAAAAACUCAAAUCUUUGAAGAGAAAUAGAGACAAGACAGGAAGUCACGUCCUUAUUGUUGACCAUCUUCACAAUGAUUCCAAGCUCAUAUCCGAUGAGAAUCAAUGGAAGUCUAAGAAACCAAGAACAAAGAAAGAAAGAGUUGGUUCUUCAAAGAUCAGUUUCAAACAUUCAACUUCUUUGUAUGAUAGUGUCGAGCCAUAUGCAUAGGCAAUUGCAGAGAUGAAAGAUAUAAUAUACAAAACGGCUGUGUUUAGACCGGUGAAUAUUCCAUUGUUGAAGAUAAUGGAUCAGAUGAACUUUAUGAAGACCAUUAUAACUUUUUACGUUAAUUUUCGGACCCAAUAGUUUAUUUGGAGUUGUUAGUGUGUGCUUUUUCUAAGUCUUAAAAUUUGGUUUGAACCGUCUGUUCAAUUAACGCAAGUCAUUCUCAACGAA